RNAcentral lists this ribosomal RNA (597 nucleotides) under Acinetobacter guillouiae. RNAcentral's name for it is "bacterial SSU rRNA". Lineage: Bacteria; Pseudomonadati; Pseudomonadota; Gammaproteobacteria; Moraxellales; Moraxellaceae. The record is from RNAcentral.
UUGCUUCGGUAAYUGACCUAGCGGCGGACGGGUGAGUAAUACUUAGGAAUCUGCCUAUUAAUGGGGGACAACAUCUCGAAAGGGAUGCUAAUACCGCAUACGCCCUACGGGGGAAAGCAGGGGAUCACUUGUGACCUUGCGUUAAUAGAUGAGCCUAAGUCGGAUUAGCUAGUUGGUGGGGUAAAGGCCUACCAAGGCGACGAUCUGUAGCGGGUCUGAGAGGAUGAUCCGCCACACUGGGACUGAGACACGGCCCAGACUCCUACGGGAGGCAGCAGUGGGGAAUAUUGGACAAUGGGGGGAACCCUGAUCCAGCCAUGCCGCGUGUGUGAAGAAGGCCUUAUGGUUGUAAAGCACUUUAAGCGAGGAGGAGGCUCYYWURGUUAAUACCYAWRRUGAGUGGACGUUACUCGCAGAAUAAGCACCGGCUAACUCUGUGCCAGCAGCCGCGGUAAUACAGAGGGUGCGAGCGUUAAUCGGAUUUACUGGGCGUAAAGCGUGCGUAGGCGGCUUUUUAAGUCGGAUGUGAAAUCCCCGAGCUUAACUUGGGAAUUGCAUUCGAUACUGGGAAGCUAGAGUAUGGGAGAGGAUGGUAGA